Molecule: long non-coding RNA, 297 nt
Filed under: Selaginella moellendorffii
Lineage: Eukaryota; Viridiplantae; Streptophyta; Lycopodiopsida; Selaginellales; Selaginellaceae
Description: long non-coding RNA (SMOE_LNC001486)
Source: RNAcentral
GAAAAACCAGGGAGAAUACCGUCGCUGGAUCCUGGCUACUCUGGGAGGCACCUGAAAGAGGUACGCUACGGAACUCCUUGCUCUUGUUUUUCCUUCGUUGUUUUUACUUUUUCUAUCUUCUUCUGAAGGUUUUUCAUACGUACACUGUGGUCUACCUUUCGGCUUUGUCUAUAACUAGGAGCAGGAUUCUCGGCUGUUUGUCGCAUUUCGCUAGAGGCUCCUCGCGUUUGCUGCGCUCGAAUCGGGUCUAGAUCACAAAAGCCGGCCCCAGAAGAGAGAGUAGUUCCAGCCGGCCUU